CGGAGGGUGCAAGCGUUAUCCGGAUUCACUGGGUUUAAAGGGUGCGUAGGCGGACAGGUAAGUCCGUGGUGAAAUCCUAUAGCUUAACUAUAGAACCUGCCAUGGAUACUAUUGUCUUGAAUAUCGUAGAGGUAAGCGGAAUAUGUCAUGUAGCGGUGAAAUGCUUAGAUAUGACAUAGAACACCAAUUGCGAAGGCAGCUUGCUAUGCGAUUAUUGACGCUGAGACACGAAAGCGUGGGUAGCAAACAGGAUUAGAUACCCUGGUAGUCCACGCCCUAAACGAUGGAUACUCGACAUACGCGAUAUACUGUGUGUGUCUGAGCGAAAGCAUUAAGUAUCCCACCUGGGAAGUACGAUCGCAAGAUUG
Molecule: ribosomal RNA, 368 nt
Filed under: uncultured organism
Description: bacterial SSU rRNA
Rfam family: Bacterial small subunit ribosomal RNA
Source: RNAcentral